Molecule: microRNA, 24 nt
Filed under: Bombyx mori (domestic silkworm)
Lineage: Eukaryota; Metazoa; Arthropoda; Insecta; Lepidoptera; Bombycidae
Description: bmo-miR-3383-3p
Source: miRBase by way of RNAcentral
CCACGAAGUUGACGCGCUGUCUCU